This 300-nucleotide long non-coding RNA is filed under the name Brassica rapa (field mustard). RNAcentral's name for it is "long non-coding RNA (BRAP_LNC006048)". Lineage: Eukaryota; Viridiplantae; Streptophyta; Magnoliopsida; Brassicales; Brassicaceae. The record is from RNAcentral.
UUAAAACCUAGGUGGAUAGUCUAGUGAAAUAAGUCUUAGGCGAUUUUUCCUGUCUCGGUAUAUUGUUCCAUAAUUGUUCAUCCAGAUCUUGCAAACCGAUCUAAACUCUCCGAAAGUCGAGAAACGAUCGCCACGCUUGCUUCCUAAAGAGAGAAAAAGUUAGAGACAUGAACGUCGUCUUAAAACCGAUUCGUUUCUGGCAAUUUUCUCGGAACCGACAUAUCCCAAGUCGUCAACGUGGAAACAACCAAAUCACAGUCCAAGCGUCGUCUAUAAAUCGCCCCGAAUUAUCGAUCAUUC